CUUUCCCCUUCGGGGGACAAAGUGACAGGUGGUGCAUGGUUGUCGUCAGCUCGUGUCGUGAGAUGUUGGGUUAAGUCCCGCAACGAGCGCAACCCUUAAGCUUAGUUGCCAUCAUUAAGUUGGGCACUCUAAGUUGACUGCCGGUGACAAACCGGAGGAAGGUGGGGAUGACGUCAAAUCAUCAUGCCCCUUAUGAUUUGGGCUACACACGUGCUACAAUGGACAAUACAAAGGGCAGCGAAACCGUGAGGUCAAGCAAAUCCCAUAAAGUUGUUCUCAGUUCGGAUUGUAGUCUGCAACUCGACUACAUGAAGCUGGAAUCGCUAGUAAUCGUAGAUCAGCAUGCUACGGUGAAUACGUUCCCGGGUCUUGUACACACCGCCCGUCACACCACGAGAGUUUGUAACACCCGAAGCCGGUGGAGUAACCUUUUAGGAGCUAGCCGUCGAAGGUGGGACAAAUGAUUGGGGUGAAGUCGUAACAAGGUAGCCGUAUCGGAAGGUGCGGCUGGAUCACCUCCUUUCUAAGGA
RNAcentral lists this ribosomal RNA (530 nucleotides) under Staphylococcus aureus. RNAcentral's name for it is "bacterial SSU rRNA". It matches the Rfam family "Bacterial small subunit ribosomal RNA", at positions 1011 to 1533 of the family's 1533-position model. The record is from RNAcentral. Lineage: Bacteria; Bacillati; Bacillota; Bacilli; Caryophanales; Staphylococcaceae.